UGAACGAACCUUGGCGAAGUCUCAGAA
Molecule: unclassified non-coding RNA, 27 nt
Filed under: Mus musculus (house mouse)
Lineage: Eukaryota; Metazoa; Chordata; Mammalia; Rodentia; Muridae
Description: oocyte_clustered_small_RNA13890
Source: RNAcentral